This 638-nucleotide long non-coding RNA is filed under the name Danio rerio (zebrafish). Its description in RNAcentral is "si:ch211-57g18.4 (ENSDARG00000098575.2)". Lineage: Eukaryota; Metazoa; Chordata; Actinopteri; Cypriniformes; Danionidae. The record is from RNAcentral.
CUUCUCCAGUUUGAUCUGGGCACUUCCUACCGGCUUAUCACUCCUCAGAAAUCCGCUGUCAUGAGACGAAGAGGAGCGGCCUCCGCAGAGACGGGACUGAUCUCGACAGCACUAUCACACUCUUCCUGCUCAUCAGGGGACACUGCAGGGGCUGGGGGCCGACUGGAUCCAACGGGACCCCCACAUGCCACUGGAGGAGGAAUCUCAGAUUCGUCAAUCUUCCCUCCUUUCCGUACUGUCGCCAGCAUAGUCUGUAGUGUCUAAACAAGAAUAUUAGAGUUUUAGUUGUUAUAGAUUAUAAUAUGAACCACAUUAUUUUGUGCUAUACAGUGUUUGUUUGUUAAGAUGUGACACUGUAUGAGCUCACUUUGAGGCCUCUCUCAUAUCGCCGGGCUUUAGAAGUUUCCCCUGCAGCUUUGGCAUUGGUAACAGCCAUCCUAUACAAGCUUAUUCUUUCCUCUAAGGUGUGUUCGAUGCUCCCGGGAACUGAUGAAACCUUAGUUUCCUAUGAGAGAAACAGAAAUCAUACAUGACAUGUGAUUUCUUAUAAAAAGCUUGGGAUGGCCGAUUAAUUUAAAUUAAAUUGCAAGCAUGAUUAAAGGUCCCAUGAAAUUAAAAUAAAACAUUUUAAAAAUGUA